RNAcentral lists this ribosomal RNA (390 nucleotides) under uncultured bacterium. RNAcentral describes it as "bacterial SSU rRNA". It matches the Rfam family "Bacterial small subunit ribosomal RNA", at positions 29 to 420 of the family's 1533-position model. The record is from RNAcentral.
AUUAAACGCUGGCGGCAUGCCUUACACAUGCAAGUCGAACGGCAGCACGGGGGCAACCCUGGUGGCGAGUGGCGGACGGGUGAGUAAAGCAUCGGAACGUAUCCCGGAGUGGGGGAUAACGUAGCGAAAGUUACGCUAAUACCGCAUAUUCUGUGAGCAGGAAAGCAGGGGAUCGCAAGACCUUGCGCUCUGGGAGCGGCCGAUGUCGGAUUAGCUAGUUGGUGGGGUAAAGGCCUACCAAGGCGACGAUCCGUAGCGGGUCUGAGAGGAUGAUCCGCCACACUGGGACUGAGACACGGCCCAGACUCCUACGGGAGGCAGCAGUGGGGAAUUUUGGACAAUGGGCGGAAGCCUGAUCCAGCCAUGCCGCGUGAGUGAAGAAGGCCUCGG